Miniopterus natalensis is the source of this 532-nucleotide non-coding RNA. The record is from RefSeq and is a predicted model, not a curated record. Lineage: Eukaryota; Metazoa; Chordata; Mammalia; Chiroptera; Miniopteridae.
UGAGAGUUCAGAAGAGGCACUUCAGUGGUGCCUAUAAUGCCAUAUUUGGAUAAAGUACAUCUCCAGAGACAUACGAAAAUGCCAUCUCUUUCAUGCUUCUUCAGUGCCUUUCUAAACUAUUUAUAAAUAUUAAUCAUAAAAGAAGCCAAGGGUAUUUUUUAGAUCACCAAGAAAACAUUUUGUUAAGUCACAUAAAGUGUUAAGUCACAUAAAGUCUUCAUUCAUUCCAUUCUGUCAGUCAGAUGCUUUGAAGGGAUGAUUUGAGUUAUUAAAGAUACUUUCAAAGAUGUAUCACCUAAAAGUUCACUUCACAGUGAUCUUCUCUUUAGUAAUCUAAAAUGUUUAAAUAAUUUAUGUUUGUUCCUAUAAACCCAGUGGAGUGUGUUGACCAAUCCCACUAAUCAAGUAGACAGCUAAAGUUCUCAGUUAACAACUUGCUUCUACACACUUAAUUGCAUGAACUCUGAUAGAGCCAUGGUUUUGAUAAUUUGAAUAAGUACCUAUCUGAAAGAAUAAUAAGGUGUCUAUAAAA